GAUGAAGAACGCAGCGAAAUGCGAUAAGUAAUGUGAAUUGCAGAAUUCAGUGAAUCAUCGAAUCUUUGAACGCAUCUUGCGCUCCUUGGUAUUCUGAGGAGGAUGCCUGUUUGAGUGUCAUUAAAUUCUCAACUACACUGACUUUGAAUUGGUGUGGCUUGGAUUUGGGGGGAAAAUUGUUGUGGGCUUUUUGUAUAGUCUGCUCCCCUGAAAUUGAUUAGCGGUACCUUUGUGGAACUGUCUACAGGUGUGAUAAUUAUCUACAUCUUAGACAUCUGCUGGAAUGCUGCUUUCUAAACCUUACUUGUAUUGACAAUCUUGACCUCAAAUCAGGUAGGACUACCCGCUGAACUUAAGCAUAUCAAUAAGCGGAGGA
RNAcentral lists this unclassified non-coding RNA (376 nucleotides) under soil metagenome. RNAcentral's name for it is "partial contains 5.8S ribosomal RNA, internal transcribed spacer 2, and large subunit ribosomal RNA". The stretch from base 1 to 120 matches the Rfam family "5.8S ribosomal RNA", at positions 35 to 154 of the family's 154-position model. The record is from RNAcentral.